AUUCCAGCUCUAAUAGCGUAUAUUAAUACUGUUGCAGUUAAAACGCUCGUAGUUGAACUUUGAAUUAUUACAGAUUGUUUUACUUGAUUGUAAAAUGUCUGCUUAAUUCUUAUCUACUGGAUACUCUACUCUGUACUUAAUUGAAUGGAGUAUCGCCUAGCCAGCGAAGUUGUGGUCAAUUAUCUCCUAUCAUUGUACCAAGGUGUAAAAGCCUGAAGUGCAGUCAUGGGGUCAAGUUAAUUGAUUAUAAUGGGGUGCCAGUUAAUUUACUUUGAGUAAAUUAGAGUGUUCAAAGCUGCCUCUUGGGGCUUUGAAUAGUUUAGCAUGGGAUAAUAGAAUAGGAUUGGAUUCCUAUUUGUUGGUUUAAUGGAUCCAAUAAUGAUUAAGAGGGACAGUUGGGGGCACUCAUAUUAAGUGGUUAGCGGUGAAAUGUGUUGACCCACUUAAGAUGAACUAAAGCGAAAGCAUUUGCCAAGGAUGUUUUCAUUAAUCAAGAACGAAAGUUAAGGGAUCGAAGACGAUUAGAUACCGUCGUAGUCUUAACUAUAAACUAUGCCGACCAGGGAUAUGAGUAGUUUAUUUCUAAAUCAUUUCGAUGGUUUAGAUACUUCUCCUUAUGCACCUUGUGAGAAAUCAUAAGUUAUUGGGUUCUGGGGGAAUUAUGGUCGCAAGGCUGAAACUUAAAGGAAUUGACGGAGGGGCACCACCAGGAGUGGAGCGUGCGGCUUAAUUUGACCCAACACGGGAAAACUUACCAGGUCCAGACAUUUGAAGGAUUGACAUUGAUAGCUCUUUCAUGAUUAAAUGGGUGGUGGUGCAUGGCCGUUCUUAGUUGGUGGAGUGAUUUGUCUGGUUAAUUCCGAUAACGAACGAGACCUUUACCAGCUAAAUAGUAAUUAUUAGGACUUGUCCUAGUGAGAUAUACUUCUUAGAGGGACUAUUGGUUUUUAAACCAAAGGAAGUAAAGGCGAUAACAGGUCUGUGACGCCCUUAGAUGUUCUGGGCUGCACGCGCGCUACAAUGGUCAACUCAUCAGGUUAUCUCAACUUGUUUUGUGAUUUACUUUUCCUGAAGGAAUGGUUAAUCUUCAACGUUGAUCGUGCUUGGGAUAGAUAAUUGUAAUUAUUUAUCUUGAACAAGGAAUUCCUAGUAAUCGUAAUUCAUCAGAUUGCGAUGAUUACGUCCCUGCCCCUUGUACACACCGCCCGUCGCUGC
This 1215-nucleotide ribosomal RNA is filed under the name metagenome. Its description in RNAcentral is "SSU rRNA". It matches the Rfam family "Eukaryotic small subunit ribosomal RNA", at positions 582 to 1682 of the family's 1831-position model. The record is from RNAcentral.